Non-coding RNA from Gossypium raimondii (Peruvian cotton), 145 nucleotides. Lineage: Eukaryota; Viridiplantae; Streptophyta; Magnoliopsida; Malvales; Malvaceae. The record is from Rfam.
AGUUAAAAAUUUUAUCUAUUUGUAUUGUUAAAAACUGAGUUAGUUGGCUGAAUAAUCAGAAAGUGAAAUGUGGCAUGCCACGUGUAUCUCAUGUUGACGUAUAAAUAUCAGUUUUUAACAGCAAAAAGCGAUGAAAUUUUUAACA